Molecule: long non-coding RNA, 360 nt
Organism: Eublepharis macularius
Lineage: Eukaryota; Metazoa; Chordata; Lepidosauria; Squamata; Eublepharidae
Exons: 3
Source: RefSeq, a predicted model, not a curated record
AGGAUGAGAACCAUCCUGGGGUCCAAUCAGCAUGCGCGCCCGGAAUGGACGAGCCCUCCUCUCUGCACCCAAUCAUCUGCGAAUGUGCCCUACAAAACAUCCGGCCAGUGCCACCCAAACCCCAGGUGCCCUGACUCUGGCGCUCCUGCCUGGUGAUGGCCGACAGAGCACUGACAGGCACGUCCAGGGCAGGGCUGCUCCCCCGCGUCCCGCCCUCCCCAAACAUCUCUGACGGACGGUUGGCUGCAGCCCAGGAAGCACUUUUGCACCGUGGCCUGCAUCCCAGCCCUGCCCCGCCGAGCUGGAAGGAGGGCUGUGAAGAAUUCCCUGGCUCCCUUGCUAGCCUAAAAACAAGCCCAC